UGGGCAGCCCUAUUGAAGGGGGCAGCCACCAAAGAGGCAUACACCACCCUGGCACACUAUUGCAGGGAGUCAGUUAGGCAGGCCAAGGCAGGACUGGAGCUUAGGCUGGCUACAACAUUCAAGGACAAUAAAAAGUCCUUCUACAGAUACAUAGUGAGCAAAAAGAAGGCACAGAGUAGCAUAGGGCCCUACAGGACAGAUCAGGUCAGUUGGUGGCUGAUGCAGACAAAAAGGCAGAGCUCUUCAAUGAGUUCUUCACUUCAGUAUUCCUUAAUACUGACCAAGACA
Gavialis gangeticus (Gharial) is the source of this 288-nucleotide long non-coding RNA. RefSeq lists it as uncharacterized. The transcript has 3 exons. NCBI's taxonomy places the organism in Eukaryota, Metazoa, Chordata, Crocodylia, Gavialidae. The record is from RefSeq and is a predicted model, not a curated record.